UCCAUAACUCAAGCACAGCUUGUUUGUUGAGCCAAAUUGCUUUCAUAGUCGGGAGCAGGCUCGAAAUGCAGUGGUGAACGAUACUGAGUUUGGUUUGCCCGAGUGUUAUGGGGCUUUGUCAUGCACUCUUGUGGCCCAACCGGCGUUCCAUAAAACCUCAUUAAUAACUA
This 170-nucleotide unclassified non-coding RNA is filed under the name uncultured Eurotiomycetes. RNAcentral describes it as "sequence contains ITS2". Lineage: Eukaryota; Fungi; Ascomycota; Eurotiomycetes. The record is from RNAcentral.